AACGAACACUGGCGGCAGGCUUAACACAUGCAAGUCGAACGAGAUCUUCGGAUCUAGUGGCAGACGGGUGAGGAACACGUGGGAACAUCCCUUUCAGUUCGGAAUAACGUUGGGAAACUAACGCUAAUACCGGAUACGUCCUUCGGGAGGAAGAUUUAUCGCUGAAAGAUUGGCCCGCGUCUGAUUAGCUAGUUGGUGAGGUAAUGGCUCACCAAGGCUACGAUCAGUAGCUGAUCUGAGAGGAUGAUCAGCCACAUUGGGACUGAGACACGGCCCAAACUCCUACGGGAGGCAGCAGUGGGGAAUAUUGGACAAUGGGCGCAAGCCUGAUCCAGCCGUGCCGCGUGAGUGAUGACGGCCUUCGGGUUGUAAAGCUCUUUUGUCCGGGAAGAUAAUGACUGUACCGGAAGAAUAAGCCCCGGCAAACUUCGUGCCAGCCGCCGCGGUAA
This 449-nucleotide ribosomal RNA is filed under the name uncultured bacterium. RNAcentral describes it as "partial 16S ribosomal RNA". It matches the Rfam family "Bacterial small subunit ribosomal RNA", at positions 29 to 523 of the family's 1533-position model. The record is from RNAcentral.